Molecule: non-coding RNA, 278 nt
Filed under: Solanum lycopersicum (tomato)
Lineage: Eukaryota; Viridiplantae; Streptophyta; Magnoliopsida; Solanales; Solanaceae
Description: Bacterial small subunit ribosomal RNA
Rfam family: Bacterial small subunit ribosomal RNA
Source: Rfam by way of RNAcentral
CGAAAGGCGAAUCAAGGUUAUAUUUGGCGAUACGUCGAAUGUAAAUGAUAAAUUCAAAUGAGCUCACCGACUGAAAUUUCGUGUGUAGAGGUAAAAUCCAGAGAUUUAUGAAAAGAACGCUAAAAGCAAAUGCAGCUCUCUGGGUCCCUACUGACGCUGAGUUGCGAAAACAUGGGGAGCGAACAUGAGUAGAUACCGCGAUAGUUCAUAUCGUAAAUGAUAAGUGUUCGCCACUGAUUUACGCGGACAAAGGGCCAACUAAUAUCUGAAACACCCCG